AGAGUUUGAUUAUGGCUCAGGAUGAACGCUAGCUACAGGCUUAACACAUGCAAGUCGAGGGGCAGCAUUGGAGUAGCAAUACUUCAGAUGGCGACCGGCGCACGGGUGAGUAACACGUAUCCAACCUGCCGCUUACUCGGGGAUAGCCUUUCGAAAGAAAGAUUAAUACCCGAUGGUAUAAAGAGUUCGCAUGUUCUCUUUAUUAAAGAAUUUCGGUAAGCGAUGGGGAUGCGUUCCAUUAGAUAGUUGGCGGGUAACGGCCCACCAAGUCUACGAUGGAUAGGGGUUCUGAGAGGAAGGUCCCCCACAUUGGAACUGAGACACGGUCCAAACUCCUACGGGAGGCAGCAGUGAGGAAUAUUGGUCAAUGGACGCGAGUCUGAACCAGCCAAAGUAGCGUGAAGGAUGACUGCCCUAUGGGUUGUAAACUUCUUUUAUAAGGGAAUAAAGUGAGGGACGUGUCCCUUUUUGUAUGUACCUUAUGAAUAAGGAUCGGCUAACUCCGUGCCAGCCGCCGC
This 518-nucleotide ribosomal RNA is filed under the name uncultured bacterium. RNAcentral describes it as "bacterial SSU rRNA". It matches the Rfam family "Bacterial small subunit ribosomal RNA", at positions 8 to 518 of the family's 1533-position model. The record is from RNAcentral.